Pezoporus occidentalis (night parrot) is the source of this 1035-nucleotide long non-coding RNA. RefSeq lists it as uncharacterized. The record is from RefSeq and is a predicted model, not a curated record. Lineage: Eukaryota; Metazoa; Chordata; Aves; Psittaciformes; Psittacidae. The transcript is spliced from 3 exons.
ACUCCUUGACGGAGAAGGUCGAUGUCUUGGCAGAGCUGGGUGUUGAUGUCUUUAUGGAUGGAAAAUUUUGGGUUUAUAUUAUAUCAGUAACUCUACAAGAUGUGAUACUGGGAUUUAGGGAUCUGAGCUCUUGGAAAUCGGUGGAUGAGGUCCAGCUCUGUUCUUGUUUAGCUUUGAAAGAGAGGCUGACUCUUGUGGCAUAUGCAAGUGCUGUUUAGUUGCUUGUUUGAAACGGAAAGUCUGAAGAACAAGAAAAUCGGAGGUUUUAGACUGGCUCCAAGAUGUGCAUUUAUAAAAUAUCCAGAUUCUCUUUGCAUUUUAUUUCUAAAGUAAGAUUGAAAUAAGCUUGAAUUUUGAAAUAUCUUUCUCUUGGAAUAGGAUAUUAUGGAAUAUUGAUUGUUCCUGUUGUGGAAUAUUUAUUGUCUUACAGCCUGCAUUUACAGUCUCACAACACAGAGAAAAUAACUCCUGAUGAUGUUAAACUGACAAGACUGAGCGAUGGGAAUAUGAUGGGCUAUUUUCUGUUUACCCUGGACACUUGUUGGAGUUUGCCUUGGAAGUCAUGUGAGAGCUUCAGCAUUGUUGCAACAUCCUUUCCUCCCCUUCAGCUUCAAGGGGGCCGGGCUGCUGUGCCAGAGCUGACUGCUGUCACCACUUCACCUUUCAGGACCUUGUGCUGUGCUCCCACAUUAAAAGGCUCAAACCUAGUAACGAAGACACAACUUCCGCAGUGAGGAGCUUGACUUCAGAAAACUUGCUGAUGGGAGAAAGUAGCGACACCUGAGAGCAAUGAGUACUGAAGAGCUGUGUGUUUCAGCUUCUGCAAAGGUAAGAUGUAAAACCCUGAUCAGAAUUGGAAAAGGAAAGAGCUUAUCUUGAGGAUUUCAGUGAAAGAACCAUAAUUUCUGCAACUAAUUUAGCAGGGUUUUGUUGUUUGUUCUGUUUGGAAGAGCGGGAUGCGUUGCUUGUAAUUGUCCUCCAGUAAGCUUUAAACAGCUUCUUUGGCAAUGAAAGUUUUCUUGUUUGACUGAUUGA